GAAAAGACUGCCUGUGCCAUCAAUAAG
Molecule: non-coding RNA, 27 nt
Filed under: Cricetulus griseus (Chinese hamster)
Lineage: Eukaryota; Metazoa; Chordata; Mammalia; Rodentia; Cricetidae
Source: RNAcentral